This is a non-coding RNA of Momordica charantia (bitter melon), 2587 nucleotides long. The record is from RefSeq and is a predicted model, not a curated record. NCBI's taxonomy places the organism in Eukaryota, Viridiplantae, Streptophyta, Magnoliopsida, Cucurbitales, Cucurbitaceae.
CACCCAAAACUCUAAUCCUCCAUCAAUUCCAAUGUCCCUUUCUCCCCACCCCUUUCUCCUUCUUCUCGCCAUAGCCUCGCUCUCCCUCUCCGCCGCGCAAUGCCCCCUCAACUUCACCCUCCUCCGCCAGUUCUCCCAGAGCUCCGCCGUUUCCCGCCCCGAUUUAUCCGACGAAUGCCAUUACAUCCGCCUCGGCCUACGCCUCGUCCUCUCCCAGUACCUCAAGCUCACCGGCUCCUUCUUGCCUCCGGCAGACUCUGCGGACUCGUGCUGGAACUCCUACCAAUCGGUUGUUGAUAGAACUUGGCCGAAUUUCAACAUCCGGAGCUCUUGCGGGUUUCAGACCGGGUGGAUCUCCCAGGGAUGUAUGAACAUCAGUACCAGAUCGGAGUUCGAGCGCUUUGUUCCGAAAUCGGCGAUCGAUGGCGUGGUUGCGAACUGUAAUCAGUCGCUCGAGAAUGGUUCGCCGUGUGCCUCGUGCACGACGAGUCUGUCGGUCGUUCAGGCCUCCGGCUUGACCGGCCAGUCGAUCGGCAAUGUCACUGAUUGCACCGCCUAUCCGUCGAUCUACGCGGCGGCGUUCGUGAAUCACUUCGGCCCGACCGACCGGGGAACUGCCAAGUGCUUGUUCUCGCUCUAUCCUCUAUCCUCGGGGGAAUCGAGAAGCAAGAAGCGGAAUACGGUGAUUUUGGUGGUUCUGAUUUGUUGUGGAAUUGGCGCGGCGGCUGCGAUUGCCGGCGGUUGGUUCUUCUGGCGGAGACACGAAACGUUAAGAAUCUGGAGGAGAAAGAACGAUAGAAUUGGCAGAACGGUGACCAGUAUGGCUUCUGGAUUGGAGUCCAUAAGCGCGAGCACCACGUUGGUGAAGUUCACGUUCGAGGACAUCAAGAAGGCGACGAGGAAUUUCUCCAGAGAUAACAUAAUCGGGAGAGGUGGGUAUGGAAAUGUUUAUAAAGGGGUUCUUUCAGACGAUUCAGAAGUUGCAUUGAAGAGGUUCAAGAACUGCUCAGCAGCUGGAGACGCCAUUUUUGCUCAUGAAGUGGAGGUAAUUUCCAGUGUUAGACAUGUGAACCUUGUAGCUCUGAGAGGUUAUUGCAUUGCCACAACUCCAAUGGAGGGUCACCAGAGGAUAAUUGUGUGUGAUUUGAUGAAGAAUGGGAGUCUGUAUGACCAUUUAUUUGGGUUUUCUGAUGAGAGGCUCAGUUGGCCAAUUAGGCAAAAGAUUGCUCUUGGCACAGCUAGAGGAUUGGCUUAUCUCCAUUACGGAGCUCAGCCUGCCAUUAUCCAUAGAGAUAUCAAAGCCAGCAACAUUCUUUUGGAUGAAAACUUUGACCCUAAGGUUGCUGACUUUGGUUUGGCCAAGUUCACUCCAGAAGGAAUGACUCAUUUGAGCACAAGAGUUGCUGGAACCUUGGGGUAUGUGGCUCCCGAGUAUGCACUCUACGGCCAAUUGACAGAGAGGAGCGAUGUGUAUAGCUUUGGAGUUGUUCUACUCGAGCUUUUGAGCGGGAGGAAGGCGCUCGGGGUGAGGAGCCAUGAUAACCAACCAUUUCUAGUGACUGAUUGGGCUUGGUCUUUGGUGAGGGAACAUAAAGCCAUGGAUGUUGUUGAAGAAGGUAUGCCAGAGGUGGGUUAUGCAGAGGUUGUGGAGAAGUAUGUGUUGAUUGCUGUUCUGUGUUCCCAUCCACAGCUCCAUGCAAGACCAACAAUGGAUCAGGUUGUGAAAAUGUUGGAAACUGACCUCUCUGUUCCUUCAAUUCCUGAGAGACCCAUCCCUCUGGUUGCUGAGAUUGAUGAAAUUGAGAGAUCUAUGAGCAGUAGUGGCUCUGCUCAGCAUUCUGGUUCAGUUGGCUUUCAUAGUUGCACUUUACAAAAUGACCAAAAGUAGGGAAUUAAGUAGUUGGUGAGGUGAUAGCUUACUAAGACGAUGAUCAGGUGGUUCAAGAGGAUGUUCGUUCAUUUAAACCGGUGUAGAUGAUGAUCAUUUGUAGGAGUGAAAGCAGGUGUGGGACCGACGUUGCUUUAUAUCUAAAGGGAAGGCAGCAGGGAUCCUAGAAGGACACGUAGAAGGUAUCAUAUUCAUUUGAUAGUCGUGGGGAUGGUCGAUAUUUAAUUUCGAAUGGUAAAGACCAGACCAUUAAACUUUGGGAUAUCAGAAAGAUGUCCAGCAAUGCUACUCACUACAACAGGCCUAGAAAUUAUGACUGGGACUACAGAUGGAUGGAUAAUCCAUUCCAUGCAAAAAAUUUGAUACGUCCACGUGAUUGUUCUGUUGCUACAUACAAGGGUCAUUCGGUCUUGCGAAUGCUCAUUCAUUGUUAUUCUCCCCUGAAUAUAGAUUGCAGCACUGGUCAGAAGUACAUCUACACUGGAUCUCACAAUUCCUGUGUUUAUAUCUAUGAUUUGCUUGCACGCACCUCGACUAUUCACGGGCCAACCGCCUGACCCUACUACAUUUGGUUGACAAGGAAACUCGUAGGAUAUUAGGUCCUAGCCUAGUGGAGCUCUAGUAGCCACGCUCAAGCAUCAUAAAUCACCAGUGAGAGAUUGUAGCUGGCACCCUCGCUAUCAGAUGCUUGUAAGCUCU